Molecule: non-coding RNA, 975 nt
Organism: Dermacentor andersoni
Lineage: Eukaryota; Metazoa; Arthropoda; Arachnida; Ixodida; Ixodidae
Source: RefSeq, a predicted model, not a curated record
AAACACGCGUACAGAGUGGUGUACAGCUGCGUAGACAACUUAGCGGUCAGCCUCCUUGGCGUGCUUACAGGUUCACAUCAUUGGCCACAUUCCGCCUGGACAAGAGGACUGCCUGCACGUCUGGAGUGACAACUACAACCGCAUUAUCGAAAGGUACGAGUCGACGGUGCGGGCCCAGUUUUUCGGGCACGCGCACAAGGAUGAACUGGAGCUCCUCUCCGAGCCUGCCCGUGAGCACUACAGGGGAAGGAGGCCGUUCUCGGUAGCCUACGUCACGCCCAGCACCACCACGUUCAACUCGGGUCACCCCGCCUACCGCGUGUACGUCAUCGACGGAAACUACGCCAACAGCGCGUGGGCUGUGUUGGACCACGAGACAUACUUAAUGAACCCGACCGAAACAAACAUGGACCCCCACGAGAGCCUCCCUGGCAACUGGAGUACGCGGCAACAGCCGAGAUUGGCAUGCAGCCCCUGGUCAGCCGAAUGGGACGACCUGCUAAACAAAAUGGAACUCGACGACAGGCUGUUCGACAAGUUCUACAGGUAGGUCUACAUUGCCCAAGGACUGUAUCUUUCGCGACGGAAAAUGGCACUCCAAAAAUAAGUUUAAAAAAAAUGCUCGAACGGCAGAUGACAGCACGACCAUCAACGCUGCAUUGCCUACUGCCAGGUGUUUUAAUGCGAAUCAUUCUGGACGAGCUAAACCAACACCUCACGAAAUGGUUCUAGGAGGUGGUAGUUAAAACCAGUUUUUUUUUCUAACGGGUAUCCGACCUCUUUAGAGAAACGCGGCAACGCUCGACACUUGUGGCUGACGUUAAAUUUCGUGACAUCUACGAGCACACAUAUAAAUUUUGAAUAACGGACCCUUACACUCGGAUCGCCUCUGUCGGUCUGUUUGAGUAAGCGUAUCCAUUUCAGCUUACAUAACAAUCAAUUUGCUGAGAAAAAGACAGCUAAAAGUGUACAGCG